AGGUUUAGGAUUUCUCUUGACUUCCUCUAGUAGCUAGUUUAGAGUUCCUAUCCUAGCUGUCUUCUUUCCUAGUAGCUCGGUUCUUAGGUAGGUAGCUUCCUAUCCUAUUCGCUAUUAGCUCGUAGCUCUCUUCUUGUAGCUAGGCAGUUAGUUGUUCCUAUCCGACUAGUAGGAAGCGCGGCUAUGGAACUAACAGAAUAGAUAGAGCGGCAACCGAUGCUACCAGCCUAUCGUACUUUAAGUCCGUCAGCUGAUAAACUAGAGAGACCUCAAAUGCUUUAUUUUAAAGCCUGCCUCGGCUACUACCAAGAAAUUCCCUCGAUCCCCAAGUCACGUCACUAACUUUCUGUUGAUCGCGUAGCUACUUAGUUCAUGUAUGCCACAGCAGCGGAAGGUAGCAUGAAGAAGAAAAAACCUCUAUCUCUUUCUUGCUCAGUAACCUGC
RNAcentral lists this long non-coding RNA (444 nucleotides) under Citrus sinensis (sweet orange). RNAcentral describes it as "long non-coding RNA (CSIN_LNC005472)". Lineage: Eukaryota; Viridiplantae; Streptophyta; Magnoliopsida; Sapindales; Rutaceae. The record is from RNAcentral.